Molecule: ribosomal RNA, 460 nt
Filed under: uncultured bacterium
Lineage: Bacteria
Description: partial 16S ribosomal RNA
Rfam family: Bacterial small subunit ribosomal RNA
Source: RNAcentral
CCUACGGGAGGCAGCAGUGAGGAAUAUUGGGCAAUGGACGGAAGUCUGAACCAGCCAUGCCGCGUGCAGGAAGACGGCUCUAUGAGUUGUAAACUGCUUUUGUACAAGGGUAAACCUGAAUACGUGUAUUCAGCUGAAAGUACUGUACGAAUAAGGAUCGGCUAACUCCGUGCCAUCAGCCGCGGUAAUACGGAGGAUCCAAGCGUUAUCCGGAUUUAUUGGGUUUAAAGGGUGCGUAGGCGGAUUGAUAAGUUAGAGGUGAAAUGUCCGGGCUUAACUCGGGAGUUGCCUCUAAUACUGUUGAACUAGAGAGUAGAUGCGGUAGGCGGAAUGUAAGGUGUAGCGGUGAAAUGCUUAGAGAUAAGACAGAACACCGAUUGCGAAGGCAGCUUACCAAUCUAUAUCUGACGCUGAGGCACGAAAGCGUGGGGAGCAAACAGGAUUAGAUACCCCUGUAGUC